Molecule: unclassified non-coding RNA, 6120 nt
Filed under: Penaeus monodon (black tiger shrimp)
Lineage: Eukaryota; Metazoa; Arthropoda; Malacostraca; Decapoda; Penaeidae
Description: uncharacterized LOC119595659, transcript variant X1
Source: RNAcentral
AUUUAUCUCUUGUUUUGCGUCAUGCAAAAACCCCUCUAGUAUUGGCUAAAGUUCUAUAAUUACGUACACAAAAUCGAAGACAUACAUCAAAUGAUCUUAAACAAACAUGAAAAUCAGUCAUAAAAGGAAAGAAAAGAAAAGAAAGAAAAGAACUGGAAAAAGAAAAGAAAAGUAUACUGCAGCCACCUUUUCACAAUCAUAAAAGCACGUAGAUCAACGCUCAAAGUAAAGGAAGGGAAGAGGAAGGGAAGAGGAAAAGAAGAGGAAGGGAAGAGGAGGAAGGGAAGAGCAAGGCAAACGGAGUGGACGGCGGCAGUGCAGGUCCAGCAGGCGCAGCGGUAGGAGGCGGCUGGCGGUCGGAAGGUUCAUUUACGGCAAUCAAUAGCUAAAGUUGCUGAUUAACAGCAACAGCUCAUCAAGUUUCCCAAUCAAAGAUAAACCUUAUUUAUACCCUAAGUGUGGUGUCUUGCCACACUUUGUGUGUAAAUAGACAACUUCUUUCUCACUCUCAGAGCAGUCGUCUCCUUCUCUGGUAUAGGUUACUCCUGUACCCGUUAAGGGGAUUCCUGCUCUAAGACUGUGAACUGACAGUUUGAAAGUUCGUACUGCUGAAGAGAAGAAAAGGAGGAGGAACAAAGAAGCAUUUUGAAGCCUCUGAUAUUUCCAGUGAAUAUGGUAGCUCCAUAUGAAAUUGGUGACCCAGUACGAUCGUUUGUACGAGUUCCAGGAAGUGGAUCUGAUAAGACAGCGAAGUCAUUAUGCUGUGAUCUUGCCAGGGUAUCGGCAGCAGCUGCGGCAAUCCCUGUGCGGCCAGUCACUGCAGCUACCACACAGCCAAGGUCAGCAGAAGGAGAAAAUAGGGAACAGAAUGCAGUAGUGAAAAAGGAAGAGGUGCAAGUCAAGGUUGAAAAGGAUGAAGCAGCUGGAGAGUCAGAGCACUCAGCUGCUGAGCAGAGAAGAGAAGUGAAAUGCAAGAAGCGCCUUGCAGAAGAUUCAGAAAUAAUGGUGCAUGCCAAAAGGAGCUGUGUAUCAGGUGAAGAGACAUCUAAAGUUUCACCUGAUUCCUCUAAAGACACAAACACCAGUAAAGGAGGAGAAAGGUCUGCUGUUCAUGAAAAGCUGAAUAUUUUAGAAAAGCAAUGUAUUAAACUAAAACAGCAAAAUCAUCAGCUGCAGCAGAGAUUGUCUUUAUUCUGCAAGCUUUUCAAGGAUCCAAAGAAGCUUGCAUUUGCAUUAAAACGAAUGGAAGCUCAAGCUAACUAAUUUCUUUUCUCAAUGUAGUUACUCAUCUGCCAAAGAGAUACUUAAUAGGAAGAUUUAACCCAUUGGCUCCGGCACAUGCACUGUUACCUUAAUUCUGUUUACACAUAGAUGGCUUCACAAGUGCUUAGUCAGCAAGGGGUCAAUUCUUAGGCUAACCUGAUCUCACCUGAAAAAAAAACAUUUUUAUUACUGUUUUGUUAUUAAAGUUAUUUUUGUUGAUAAUACCAUUAUAAUUUUAAUAACAAGGUACCCAGAAUAAAACUAGAAACUUUCUUUUCCAAAUUUCAAGGAAAGGAAUUCAAAAGAUGGGACCCAAGUAUUAACUCUUUACUGACUAAAUAUUUCUGGAGCCAUCCAGUUGUAAACAGAAUUUGUAAAAUAACCAAUGGACAGUGUAAGUGAUCCAGUUGCAAGUUGCAAAUAGCCAUCAUUUUGAUGAAACUUUCAUUAUGUUUUGGCAUUAUUUGAUUAACUUGUUAACUAUAAUUCACCGUCCAAGUGGCAAGGUGCCAGUUUCAUGAAUACACUCUAUGUAUAUUCAAACCUCAUUGUGGCAAGGUGCCAGUUUCAUGAAUACACUCUAUGUAUAUUCAAACCCCAUUGUGGCAAGGUGCCAGUUUCAUGAAUACACUCUAUGUAUAUUCAAACCUCAUUGUGGCAAGGAGCCAGUUUCAUGAAUACACUCUAUGUAUAUUCAAACCCCAUUGUGGCAAGGUGCCAGUUUCAUGAAUACACUCUAUGUAUAUUCAAACCCCAUUGUGGCAAGGUGCCAGUUUCAUGAAUACACUCUAUGUAUAUUCAAACCUCAUUGUGGCAAGGAGCCAGUUUUUAUGAAUGACAUGUUUGUUCAGCCUAAUUAUGGCAAGAGGCUAGUUUUGUUGAACACUAUGCAUAUUGAACAUUAUCAUGUCAAAGAAGUAGUUUUGUAAACUGAUGUACUCAUUCAGGUAGCAGAGGGCCAGCUUUGUAUGAAGAGAAACUACCUGAAAAUCUGAUGAACCAUUAACCUGUGUAUGUCCAAAAAAGCUAUGAAGAGAUUUGAAAGUUUGUUAUAUACUUAUUAUUAUGAUACAGAGCUGGUGUUAAUGAAUUGCCUAAUGUUUCAAAAGAGAAAAUUUUAUGUACAUGUUUUGUAAUUGGAUUAUGUAGAUGAAGUAUAUUGACAUUAUAUAAUUCUAGAAAAAGUUUUGUUUCAUUAAUUUAUGACAUUAAUUAUUAUAAUACUUAAAAUGCAUAGUGUUAUUGUCUUUUCUGACAGUUGGAGCUUAGGCGACAUCUCUCACACAGCGGGAGUUGAAGAGGUGGUAAACAUUUAUUGAGUUGCCAGAUGCAUACUGCUUGCAUCAGUUAUUUUCAUGCAAAUCUAUACUUAUACUGGGUAUCUAUAAUCUUAGUACAACCCACCGUAAGAUAUCAAAAGCCAUCUAGGAUAUAUUUCAAAAUACUGUGUACCAGUCAAAUAAAUAACCAAUACAAUAAAACAGCCAGCUGUCAACUGCAUCCCCAUUACGUCACAGCAGUGGGUUUAUCUUGUGGCCUGUCUGGCCUCUGAUCACGAGACAGGCUUUGGGUGUUGUGUGAUGUCUCGUGACACCCAAAACCUGCUAACCUUCCUCGUGAUUGGAGGCCAAACAGGCUGCAUGCUCUGCCCACUGCUGUAAUGUAAUGGGGAUGGCUGCAGGUGAUGGCUAGCUGUUUUUUACUGUGUCGUUUUUUUCCGACUGGUGCACAGUAUUUUGGAAUAUAAUAUCCUAGAUGGCUUUUGAUAUCUUGUGGUGGGUUGUAUUGAUAUAGAUAUCCAGUAUAAGAACAAAUUUACAUGAAAUUAACUGAGGUAAGAGGAAUGCAUCUGGCAUCUUGUUAAAUUUUACUGCCUAUUCAAUUCCUGUCACAUGAAAGGUUUUGCCAUUGGAAAAGACGGCUCUAAGUCCACAUUAUUAGGAGUUUGGAUUAAUCUGGUUUGAAUCUUUAUUCAUGGAUUGUUGUGUUUCCUUUUGUCAGACUAAUUUAUCUGGACUCUGAAGUUCUGCUUUGGUGUUUCUUUUCCUACUGUGCCUGUUCUUUUUUUAGUAGUUUUGUAUAGUAAAUGUAUAUGGAACAAGUCAUUUUGAUUUAUUGGUACCAGCUACUGUAAAUGUCAUUGACACCCAGAGCAGAGUUAUUUUUUAUUCUGUACACGUUUUCUAAACAUAAAACACAGUACCUUACCUAAGGUCUUGAUAGUAGCUGUGUAGUAAUUUCACGCACCCAGAGAUCUUAUUUUUCCUUGAGCAGUUAUAUAUGCAUCAUGUUAGUAUGAGUGUAGGUAUGUUGUAGAAAAGUGGUCCUUAAACUGAAUUACUUGAACUUAAUUUCAGUAAAAGUAAAAUGGCCACAAAGAUAAGGGUAACUUUAGUCCAGGAUUAAAGGGUAAAAAAAAAUCGAUUUGCCAAUUUCAAUUUUUACUAUUAAUAAAGAACAGAUGAAUUUGAAAUAUAUUUAUAAUUACAGUUGAAGUGAAUCCAGGCUUAUGUACACCUUGCCACACAUAUAAAUAGAGCAUAUUAUCACUCAUGACUGGCUUGUUGACAUUAGCCGAUACCAUCUUGGAGUUUGUGAGACAAACUAUAUCACCUCCAAGAUAAACCAACAUGCCAGAUAAAUUAACAUGCCAUUCAUGGUGCUCAUUUUCACACAUGUGGAAUUAAAUAUUUAGAAGCCUGGACUAAGGAUUGAAUCCACUCCAGCAGUGGGUUGUGCAAGAAUUUUCUUAUAGAUUUAUUAUUUCCCAUGUCAUUUUGGCGGUUUCCUUUCAUAUUUUUUUGUUAUUGCCAUUUAUUUUGUUUCUACAUGAAUGUGAAAAUUUAGUUGAUUCCUACUUGUAUGAAUGUGCAGUUUAAACAUUUGUUAUUAUUAUUAUAGAUUACACCAGUAAACCUACUUAGAAACCUUGCUAGCUAACAGUUUACUUACAUUUCUUUGCUGUGCUUUUGAACUGAAAAGAGAUAUGGAAUAAAGCAUUUUUACAAACUUCCACUACUAACUAGUAUAGAAAUCCAGUGAUUAAUUGCACUCAGUAGUGCAAUUCCUGUUGGGAGCAUUUACAUUGUUAAAGAUUAAAAUCUUAACAAAACAUGUGUAAAGUACUAUGCAUAAGUGCCAACACAGUUUGCCCAAGAAUUGGCAUGCUGCAUAGUGCCUGAAAAGAAGCUUGCUCAGCACGGUGCCUGGACAUUAGCAUUAUUUUCAGUACAUUAAGUCUGUUCAUAGACACUAUGUACAAGCAUUGUGUAUAGGCAUCUUUACAUAAUUAUGCAAAUUUCCAGAAAAUUAAUAUCUAGAAGCAAACAUCAUUCAGGAAUGUUUACACAUUACCUGGGUGACAGAUUGUGCCCAGCAGUGAAUUAUCAGAAUGAUUUAUGAUGGUUUCAAAGUUGAUAUUUUACUUUAAAGAUUGAAAUUGUAGAGCCAUGAAAUUAAUUAUGUUAGCAAAUAACCUCAAUAUAUAUAUGGUUUCUCAAGUCUUUUCAUUAUACUUUAUAACAAUAGAAUAAUCUCUAGGGUGUUUGGUUAAAAUAUACUAAUGUUUUUAGUGUUGUCUGUCUCAGGUUUUUAAAAAACAGGGAUCAUUUGGUGUACCUUUCUUCAUAUAACUUGUGUCUCUUGUAGAUGCACUUUGAUUUUAUUGCUAAAACCUUUAUUUGAAAUUUUCUUGAUACUUUGUGAUUGAGAUCUGUUUCAUGAUUUAGUGGAAUCAUGAAUGGCUAUACAUCAAACCUUUAUAUGUACUAAUGUCUACAGAAAAGAAAAACAGUUGAAGUAGGUUGGGUCAUGCCAAGGUGUCAGGUGGGAAGAGUGGCCAACCAUAGUGCUUGUCAUCCUUCACAUAUACGACAUGAGACCUCUACCUGACCUAACCUUUGUUGACCUAGAAGGUGAGUAGGUUAGGUCAGGCUGAAGUCUCAGGCAGUAUACAGGAAGAAUUACUAGCAUAAUGCUCUUUCACCCUUUCCAUAUACUGCCUGAUACAUCAGUUUGACCCAACCUAUCUCCAUACACUUUUGAAAAACCUGAGAUAUGAGUAGAUGGAUAAUACUUUAUCAUUAUUUUGGUUUGAUGGCUUUUAUACUUUUAAGAAUAUUUCUUUUACAGAAUGUUUAUAAUAUGUCUGCAUAAGCUGGUAUACCACAGAUUUUGUAUUUUAAAUAUAAUAAUUAGAUACUGUCAGCACCUGUCCUUACCAGCAUUCUUUUGAAAGUAGUAAAAUUAUUCUUUACCUGGAAGCAAUCUGCAGUCUUUUAUGUAGCAGACAAUCAUGGAUAUUGUGCAAGGUAAUUAAAUUUAGUUGCCUAUGUUAUUGUAGACAUGUAUAACUCUUAUGAAUUGAAUAAACUUUUAACUGUAAAUAAUUUUACACCCUUAGCUUAAGACCUGUACAUAUUGAUAGCUAAUAAAGGCUGAAAAUGUCUGGUCUUGAAAAAUGUCAGAUACAGUAUCUACAUCAUUUCUAUAAUUUUGGUUUAAUUCUUAAUAACUUUGCAAAUAAUUUCAAUCUCUUGUCUGUUCUCAGUUGGUCUCAGUUGGACACUUAGAAAGGCUAAGACUGGUUUAAUCUCUGAUUAUAAGUUGUAGACACAUUAUUUUGUCUUUUGAACAAAGAACAAAAUUAAUAUUGCCAAGUUACCCUCUACAGAAAUGUAUCAUGAGGAAGAUGAAAUGUAAUUUGUGGGUAAAAAGGCCCAUUGAAAGGUAAGAAAUACAGAAAAAACUCAUUUAAAGCUGAUGUUGGCUAGACAACAAAUAUGAUCCAUGAAUAAUGCCAGAAUGUUAAAGUGUGAUUAUUUUGUUGAAAUAUUCUCGAUAAAUGUGGUAAACCCA